Long non-coding RNA from Lates calcarifer (barramundi perch), 478 nucleotides. RefSeq lists it as uncharacterized. The transcript is spliced from 4 exons. NCBI's taxonomy places the organism in Eukaryota, Metazoa, Chordata, Actinopteri, Centropomidae. The record is from RefSeq and is a predicted model, not a curated record.
UCGCGCCACACGAGACGAGAGCAGAAUGGUGAGAGACAGUCCGACAAACAAGCAAAAAUACAGUGUAAAACCAAUGUUUAAGUCUUCGUCUCUUGGCCUCAGUUUCUUAGGACUGUGUGAAAGUUCAAUAUUGAGAAGUAUGGACGCUAAAACAAACGGUGGAGCUGUUUUUUGUCGAAUACAAGCGAGGACGCUGAACACACCUGCAGCGUGAAGGUAUCACCACUUUAUCCCUGAGUGCAGAGACUAAACCAGAGGAGACAGAGCGCAGACUCCAGGACCACUUUUACCAGGCACCACCACUUGGUCCAUGAGUCCAGAGAACAGAGACUAGACCACAGAGGCCUCCAAGUAGUUCAGAAACAUCUACUGUCCACCAGAGACAUUCGCAGUGAAUUCCCAGAAACCACUGGAUCCAGUGAAGGUAGGAAAAUAUUUUUAUUUCUUCUUCUUCCACUUCUAGACUGUCCUUAUUCCU